Molecule: ribosomal RNA, 533 nt
Filed under: uncultured Ascomycota
Lineage: Eukaryota; Fungi; Ascomycota
Description: eukaryotic LSU rRNA
Rfam family: 5.8S ribosomal RNA (bases 193-343)
Source: RNAcentral
CUUGGUCAUUUAGAGGAAGUAAAAGUCGUAACAAGGUCUCCGUAGGUGAACCUGCGGAGGGAUCAUUACCGAAUGGCCCGAUGGGCCUUCGAACCCUCAAACCCGUGGAAGAGAUAUGUGCCUCGGCGUCCCCAGAUGGGGGCGUCGCCCAAAUGCGUCCAUCUCUGUGUCUGAACAUGAAAUUGAAGAUAAAACUUUCAACAAAGGAUCUCUUGGCUCUCGCAUCGAUGAAGAACGCAGCGAAGCGCGAAAUGUAGUGUGAAUCGCAGAACAUUGUGAAUCAUCGAGUCUUUGAACGCACAUUGCGCCUCCCCUCCAGGGAGGCAUGCCUGUCUGAGCGUCUUUUAAACCUAUGGGCCCUCCUCUGGGUCCGUGAUGGGCCUCGCCCUCUGGGCGUAGCCUCAAAGACAUCGGUCUCCACGAGCGGGUCGGUUCCCCAGGGACGUGGCCGUUCGAGACCCCAAAGACUUCGAGUUUGACCUCAGAUCAGGUAGGGACACCGCCUGAACUUAAGCAUAUCAAUAAGCGGAGGA